UUUUUUUUUUUUUUUUUUUUUUACUUUUUCUGUUCUGUGAAAUUAUAAGUGGUUAUCCUUAAGCAGUACUUUGGUGCUUUUUUUUUGCAAUUUAUUUCAGCAAUUUUUUCAAUUUAUAUUAAAAUAUUAAAUAUCUUUAAAAUAUUUUAAAUAUUUGUAAUUUAGUCAUGGGAAAGAAAGGCAAGCAUAAAUAUUAAAAAUUCACUGGGGUUUGUUUAAUUGAAGUUUUCUACCAUUUUAUUAUAUAACUGCCAUUAUAAUGAGAGAAAUCUACAGAUUUAUCAUAAUCCAGGGGUUUACUUACAAAUUAAUAAUAAGAGUAUAUCAUUACAUUUUGAUUUGUCUUCAAUUUCUGUAGUUGAAAUGGUGUUCAUAAUUCAUUUGUUAAGGUUGUGUGUUAAAAAGGAACCAGAAAUCUCACUUGUGGUAUUUGCAUUUUGAAAGACAAAAUAAAAACAAAAGAACAUAGCCGUACCCAAAUAUUUUCCAGUUAUAAUUUGAUUUUGCAGAUGACAUAAAGCAUUGUAUUCUAUAGGCUAAUUUAAGAUGAUUCAAAUUUUAUGUUGAAGUUGAAUUAUUUUGAUCAUAUACUCAAGUGCAAAUGUGAUGUCUAGCCAUCUCUACACCAUUGAGGCAUUCCAGUUACACAAAUGAUUUCUUUUUUAUGUGAUGAAGUAUUGUGCUCAGGUUAAUUAAAUUUCAUGUCAGUCGACCAAGUUUCCUUAUAUAUUUAUAAUGUGAUGUUAAUUCACAGAGGUUGCUCCAUAAAUUGUUUUUCUUUCCCACUAUUUACAGUUUCACAGGAAUACAUCACCAGUAAUACAGUUUGGGUGUAAACCUAACUAUUUCAUCUGAAUAAACAGUUUUAUCUUUAAAGUGAAAACUUAAUGUUGAUAAGUAGGCCAAACAAAUAAACUAUGAGGAGGAAAGCAUAUCAUGAAAGCAAAAUAGUUUUAAAGGAAUUCAUACCCUGGGUUCAUUUUGCCCUAUUUGAAAUGUUUCAAAAUAUUUAAAUGAGGAAAAGUAUAGUAUUCCUAUUUCUUAGCUCAAUUCAUUGAUAACAGUGUAUUUUGGCAAUGGAUGCAAGACCUUUUAACUUCUUCAACAUAAGAAAUUAAAUAAGAUGAAAUAUUAUUGUUAUCAUUCUUUUUAGUGUUUCCUUUUACAUUACAUGUCACUUACAAAGUACAGAGCAGCAGGAAUUAGGAAUUGUCAGUGAUAUUCUUAUAAAAUUUUUUACUUUAAACCUCUCCCUGGAGGAGAUCCUACAUUGAAUUUCAGAUGAGCUGUUGUCAUACAUACACUGUCUUGAGAGAGGAUUAUGAGGAGAUUAGAGUACAUAAACUGUCGUGGUCCAUGUGCAGGUUGGAAAAAGAAUUUGCAGACUCAGAGUGGGGUGAAAGAAAGAUAAGUUUGUUGAGAUAAGGAAUGAUGCUAGUGCAGUGGGCUGACUUCCUGGUAAUCAGGGAGAGCCGACCUGAGCACGUGGUCACGUCUGUUUUGAUAGCCAAGGAACAAAGGAGAGAUGAGAGGUCUUAUGAUACACUUGGAGUUGGUUGGGGGCAUAUAAUGCCCCAUAGAGGCAGGAUGAGAAGUGGGCGAAAUACCUUUCCUAGUAGCAGCAGGAAGGAGUAGGCCAGGUUGCUCAGGAAGAGCUACAGAACUCUGUAACAACUGUAAUGGGAUGGAAGGGUGAUGAGGGUCUGGUGAUUUUUAUCCUGUCAACGCUGACAUCCUGAGACUGAGUUUAACUCCUUGAAGAGGCCUUGGAGUUCCACAGUAUCCACUAAACAUAACUUGAAAUUAUUUCAAAACCUCUUUAAAAAAACCCUGUUUGCACUCCCCAACUUCUGUUAUGUUAAAUUUACCCUUGAAAAUGGAAAGAAAAUAACAUUGUAAAGAUGACCUCAAAGCCUUUCCCAGAGUUCCCAUUGUGGCUCAAUGGGUUAAGAACCAGACUAGUAUCCAUGAGGAUGUGGGUUUGAUCCCUAACGUUGCUCAGUGGGUUAAGGAGCCAGCAUGGCCGUGACCUGUGGUGCAGGUCACAGAUGUGGCUUGGAUCCUGCAUUGCUGUGGGUGUGGCAUAGGCUGGCAGCUGCAGCUCCAAUUCAGCCCCUACCCUGGGAACUUCCAUAUGCCACAGGUGCGGCCCUAAAAAAAGCCUUUUUCAUGUAGGGGCCGAGUUCAGGGCCCACUGAGUGUGAGAUUCCACAGCUGCCAUUGGAGGCAUCAGUCACACUUCAUCAGCACUGAGAUCCAUUCAACACACUUUCACAUCUAGCAUUGACACCAGUCUCAGAAAGGAAAUAGAAAACCCAAAUAUUUGUACAGUAAAGAUUAUAUAUUUUUGGAAAUCAAAGUUGUCUAAUAUGUUAUUUCAAUAAAUGGAUUUUUAAAUAAUGAUUCUUUAUAUACAAGAUGAAAAUAAUUUAAGGAGAAAUUGGGGGUAUAACUUUUAAAUAAAACCGAAAGCUAUGAAGAAUCCCAAAGGUAGAGUACAUUUAUCUGCACAUUUAAAUAUUAUUUUAAAAAUAGUUAACAAAAAUCAUUGAAAUCUGCAUGUUCCCCUUACACUUGCAUGAUGUCUGAGAUUCCCAUUUUAACAAUCUUAUGAUGAAGUCUCCCUAAAUAAUUAACAAAAAUAUUUAUUUUUGUUUUUAUUUGUGGGUACAUUAAUACCAGAAGUAUACACAAGAAUAUCGAUAUUGUUAUGGUGCAUGAAUAACUAUAUUAUAUAUAUUUUUAAUCUAGUUUGUUUCUAAUACAUUAUGUGUUAGGUAUAUAUAUUUUAUGUAUUACAUGUGCACAUAACACAUAAAUAUAAAUUUUUAUUUUGUUAUUCCUAAUUCUUAAUUUGGAGCAUGCAAAGAGGAAAUGUAAUAAGUCUACCAGACUUAAAACAUUUUAGUAAAUUAUGGAUUUUCAUAUAUGAUCUAGGAAGUUAUCAGCUUUGUAAGAAGUACUAGGUUCUGCAAAAUACAUAAGUAGCAACAUAGUGGGAAUUGUUUUUCAGGCUAAGGGACUAGCAUGGAUAAGGGCACCAAGAAAAGUAACACCUCUGAGUAUGUAAGGAAAAUAUGCAGUCUGUCUCCCUUUUCCAUAAAUUACUCUCUGCAUGGUGGCCUGAACUGAGGCUGAAGAAGAUGACAGAGGCAUUUGCGUGUUGUCCAAGUUCUAUGUUACAGAAGAUAGAAGUGAUCUGGGGCUUUUGAAAACGUGAGGAUUAAAGUCUGGUUUACACUUGAAAGACGGGACCCCAACAGGAAAGAAUGCUCAGAGUUGGGGAAGCCAGUUUUCAGGCUGGAGCAAUUGUGCAGGUCAGAAAUGAUGAAACCUUGCCUUCAAGCAGCAGUAGUGAUAACUGGAGAAAUGGGCAGCUUUUGAGGAUCAAUGGGUAAAACCAUUGAAACUGGCGAUCAAUGCAUGUGGAUGGAUGGAUGAUGUUAUAAGAAAACUCUGUUUUCUGGCUUCAGUAACUGGUGAACAGAUCAUAAAUGAAUUUGGAGACAGUGUAGAAGAGGAAUAAAUAAUAUGAUGAGUUGAUAUUCUGAGAGAAAUAUGAUGAAUUCAGUUUUUGGCAUAAGUUUUAGAUGUCCACUGGAUAAUCCAAGUGAAAAUGUUUGGAGAGCAGUUUUAUUUAUACAUGCACCUGAAUCUUUGACAUAGCUCAGAGAUCAUGGCUGGGAAAUUUUAAUGUAAUAAAAAUAAAAGAAUGGCUACAACUGCCUAAAUCAAAAUACGUGUAGAUUGGGAGUUGCCAUUGUGAUUAGUGGGUUAUGAACCCAACUAGUAUCCAUGAGGAUGGAGGUUCAGUCCCUAGCCUUGCUCAGUGGGUUAAGCAUCCAGUGUUGCAGUGAGCUGUGUGGUACGUCUAAGAUGCAGCUGGGAUCCUGCAUUGCUGUGCAUGUUGCUGUGGCCGGCAGCUGCAGCUCCAAUUCAACCGUUACCCUGGGAGCUUCCAUAUGCCAUAGGUGUAUCCUUGAAAAGAAAAAAAACAAACAAUCAAAAACAAACAGACAAAAACCCCAAACAAAAUACACAUAAAUAAAGAGAGCAGAGGGAAAAUGAAAUGCAACCAAAGAAUUCCAAUGCUCAUUGUGAGGAGAAGAAAGAAUUUCGGAAAAGUGAACUGUAAUGAAAAUCAAAUGUUUUGAAAUUUUCAUUAUGCAGAGAAGAAUAAAACACCAAGUAAUUUCACUAAAAUAAAAAUUUAUAGAUUCCCGAGGACAUGGAUGAUUUUGCUUCUGAUGGUUUCAGUGGCUUAAAAUCAGUAGAUGUCAUGAGGCAAACAAAGAAAGGCUGGACAGUGGUUCAGACUUGAGGGAAUUCUUAGAGUCAGUGGAGUCGAUUCUGUCAAGAAUCAUAGCUGAGAAAAGAAAAGGAGAUGGGGUGGUAUUGCUGGAGAGAAACUUAAUCAAGGAUUUCCCCCUCUUGUCUUCUUCUGUCAUGGGGAAGACGUAAAGAGAGUACUGAGGAGUGCUCAGUAAGAAAAGAGAUUUUAAAAACAGGAAGCAGGAAUUCCCUGGUGACCUGAUGGUUAAGAACUCGGUGUUGUCAUGACUGUGGUUUGGGUUACUUCUGUAGUCAGCUUCGACCCCUGGCCCAGGAACUUCUGCAUGCCCUGGGCAUGGCCAAAAAUAAAUAAUCGAUAAAAAAUAAAAACAAGAGGCAAACUCUGCCGCCGAAGAGGAAGAAAUGGCCACAUGGGAAAGAUGAUACUAACUGGAACGAGAGCCACUUCCCCCUCUGGACGUGAAGAAACAGAGGAGGGAUGUGGUUUCUGAUGGGAGGUGGUGGGAAGUGGAGACAGUUCCUAUCUUGAGUUCUUCCAUCUCUCUAUAAAGGAGGAAGUGAGGUCCUCUAAGUAGAUAAGAGAUGCUAGUGAAACAGAGUAGUCACUGAGGAUCCAU
RNAcentral lists this long non-coding RNA (4910 nucleotides) under Sus scrofa (pig). RNAcentral's name for it is "lncRNA (ENSSSCG00000053978.1)". The record is from RNAcentral. Lineage: Eukaryota; Metazoa; Chordata; Mammalia; Artiodactyla; Suidae.